Molecule: non-coding RNA, 114 nt
Organism: Elasticomyces elasticus
Lineage: Eukaryota; Fungi; Ascomycota; Dothideomycetes; Mycosphaerellales; Teratosphaeriaceae
Source: the annotation of a GenBank genome assembly
GGUUGUAUGGUGUAGUGGAUAGCACUCCAGAUUCUGAUUGAAGGUGCUACCGCCAUGGUGUGCCUAUCAUUAAAUUCUGGCGACCCCAGUUCGAUCCCGGGGUAUCUAGAACCC